RNAcentral lists this long non-coding RNA (859 nucleotides) under Portunus trituberculatus (swimming crab). Its description in RNAcentral is "uncharacterized LOC123498099, transcript variant X1". Lineage: Eukaryota; Metazoa; Arthropoda; Malacostraca; Decapoda; Portunidae. The record is from RNAcentral.
AGUAAGUAGAUCAUAUGCAUUUAAGAUUAAGGUCAUUGAUUUAUUUUGGAAAAAAUGGAUGAAGAACUACUUUCCUACUCUAAUUGUACGCCAAAAGUGGCAUGUGAGUGUAAGAAAUGUUCGGAAGGGUGACAUUGUACUUGUUAAUGAUCAUAAUGUAUUAAGAGGAGAAUGGAAGUUAGCGGAAGUUGUAGAAGGUAUACCAGGAAGGGAUGGAAAGAUCAGAGAUGUGUUGUUGAGGUAUAAAAUUAAUGAACCAGGAAAACAGUACAGGGGCCAACAUGACAAGCAAAUGGUAAGAUCAGUACAUAGACUGGUGGUGUUGCUCCCAGUCGAUCAACAAUAGAAGUAUAGAAGCCUUUGAUUUGUGGUGGGGGGAGUGUAAUAUGAUUCUCAUCAUAUUAGAAUUAUAAUGUCAUUGUUGGCACCUUUGAAUGUGGAGCGGGCAGUGUGUGUCGCUGUCAUUGGUUGGAAAGAGGUGUAGACACGGGUUGUAUUCCAGUUACUGUAUAAUUGUUAUUGGCAUAUAUGACAAGAAUUGUAAUUAUUAUUGAGAUACAUAUAUUGUUUUCUUACUUAUUAACAAGUUUGGUAUUGGUUAGUAAUGUGUAUUUGUUUGUCAAGAGGAAGUUUUCUUUUAGGGUCUGUGUAUGUAACACGGAUAUAUAUUAUACCGCACUCAGGUUGUAGGGGUAAGGUAGGCAGAGGUACAGUUGGUGCCUGUCAGGGGUGAGUGGCGGUUGUUUGACUGAGCAUAGUUGGGGUAAUGCUGUAAUCAGACAUGUGGUGAAGUCUGCCUUGGCUGAUGAUGGGCGGUCAUUUUGCUGAAUCAAUCAAUAAAUCAAGAUACAGCAAGUCA